This 272-nucleotide unclassified non-coding RNA is filed under the name uncultured Amanita. RNAcentral describes it as "partial contains 5.8S ribosomal RNA, internal transcribed spacer 2, and large subunit ribosomal RNA". Lineage: Eukaryota; Fungi; Basidiomycota; Agaricomycetes; Agaricales; Amanitaceae. The record is from RNAcentral.
AACGCAUCUUGCGCUCUUUGGCAUUCCGAAGAGCAUGCCUGUUUGAGUGUCGCAAACCUCUCACGCCCCCGGGUAUUCGUAUCCGCGCCGGGCUGUGGACCGUGGCCGUCUGGUCGGUGCUCUGCGCCGGCCCGGCCGAAAUGCAUGCGGAGCGCCUCUGCUGCCGCGACGACCGAGCGUUGUAGACCCCUCGCUUGGCUUGUCGUAGUGCGCAGGCUCCUAAACAUUAUUAAUUCGACCUCAAAUCAGGUAGGACUACCCGCUGAACUUAA